This 253-nucleotide ribosomal RNA is filed under the name uncultured bacterium. Its description in RNAcentral is "partial 16S ribosomal RNA". It matches the Rfam family "Bacterial small subunit ribosomal RNA", at positions 524 to 776 of the family's 1533-position model. The record is from RNAcentral.
UACGUAGGGGGCAAGCGUUGUCCGGAAUCAUUGGGCGGAAAGCGCGUGUAGGCGGCCCGGUAAGUCCGCUGUGAAAGUCCAGGGCUCAACCCUGGAAUGCCGGUGGAUACUGUCGGGCUCGAGUCCGGAAGAGGCGAGUGGAAUUCCUGGUGUAGCGGUGAAAUGCGCAGAUAUCAGGAGGAACACCGAUGGCGAAGGCAGCUCGCUGGGACGGUACUGACGCUGAGACGCGAAAGCGUGGGGAGCAAACAGG